GUGGGAGCUCAACCCGCGACCGCGGCUACGAUUCUCUUGGCUCCUGCCCUCGCCUUAGUCGCUCUGCGGGGUUGGUUCGGUCCCGGCACUUCCAGAGGCCUCAGGGUCCUGGUCUUGUAGAGACUUCCUGAACGGUGGCGCCUGUUCCAAAAUGUGGUUUACAGCUUCUAUCAGGAUUAGCUUCAGCUUCAAGUGACAAAAGUCACUUGAAAUAUGAGUUGCUGAAACAAGAUGGCAGUCUCUCCCCUCAACAGGACUGUUACAACACCUUAUCUUCAGAGAACCAGGCUCUCUGCAACAUUUCAGGGACGUCGUUCAGUACCUUAUGUGGAAUUCAAGCUUAGCUGGGCAUCCUAUGUUUUAACUGGCUAACUCGUGGAACUCUCAACUUGGAUCAAGUGGUAGUGGAGUCCCAGGGACUCUGAGCAGCCAGUGUGUGAUACUGCAGGGCAGCACACCCUGGGGAGGCCAACUGUACAGAAUAAAAUUAAUGCUUUCUAUCUUUAGCAACUAAAGUUCUGAAAUAUAAAAAGGACCUCACAGCUUAACCCAUGUUAUACGGUGGGGUUUUCCCAUGAACAUCACGCGUUUCCAGCUGGGCACUCCUGCAGCAUGGCUAAGAUGACAACUCAAGUUCCCUGGGAGUGGGGGUUCCUGGGAUGUGAACCUUUCGGUGCAAAAACUGGAGAAGUUCCAGUUGGGACCCCAGGCAUAGAUACUAGGAUAAAUAGGGCCUCUCUCCUCCAGGAGCAUCAAUUUAACCCAAAGAUUCUUGGAGUCAGUUUCACAUAAGUAAUCUUGUUGAAAAUAGUAAUCCCAACAGAUCUAUUUUUCCAAAUGCACCAUUUGCAUAAAUCUCAGAAAAAAGACAACUUCAAGAACAUACCUUUGCUGGGCACCAUGGCUCAUGCCUGUAAUCCCAACUACUUGGCAGGCUGAGGCACGAGGAUCACUUGAGGCCAGGAGUCUGAGAUCAGCUUGGGCAACUGAUUUAUGGUUUGGAUUUGUGUCCAUGCCCUUCCUCUUCUGCCAUGAUUAUAAGUUUCCUGAGGCCUCCCUAGCCAUGCUUCCUGUACAGCCUACAGAACUAUGAGUCAAUUAAACCUCUUUUCUUUAUAAAUUACCCAGUCUCAGGUAGUUCUUUAUAGUAAUGUGAGGAUGCACUAAUACAGCAAUAUAGUGAGAGCUCCAUCUCUACAAAUCUUUUUUAGAAAGACAGGACAU
RNAcentral lists this long non-coding RNA (1224 nucleotides) under Homo sapiens (human). Its description in RNAcentral is "HSALNT0404558". Lineage: Eukaryota; Metazoa; Chordata; Mammalia; Primates; Hominidae. The record is from RNAcentral.